GGUGGCGACCGGCGGACGGGUGCGUAACACGUAUGCAACUUGCCCUAUACUGGAGAUAGCCCGAAGAAAUUCGGAUUAAUAUCCCAUAACAUCAGGAUAAGCAUUUAUCUUGGUUCAAACCUCCGGGGGUAUAGGAUGGGCAUGCGGUCGAUUAGCUUGUUGGUGAGGUAACGGCUCACCAAGGCGACGAUCGAUAGGGGGCCUGAGAGGGUGAUCCCCCACACUGGUACUGAGACACGGACCAGACUCCUACGGGAGGCAGCAGUAAGGAAUAUUGGUCAAUGGGCGCAAGCCUGAACCAGCCACGCCGCGUGAAGGAAGACGGCCCUAUGGGUUGUAAACUUCUUUUCUACGGGAAUAAACCUCAGGACGUGUCCUGAGCUGAAGGUAUCGUAGGAAUAAGGAUCGGCUAACUCCGUGCCAGCAGCCGCGGUAAUACGGAGGAUCCAAGCGUUAUCCGGAUUUAUUGGGUUUAAAGGGUGGGUAGGUGGGAUGAUAAGUCAGAGGUGAAAGCUAGCAGCUUAACUGUUAAAUUGCCUUUGAUACUGUCGUUCUUGAGUAUAGUUGGCGUUGGCGGAAUGUGACAUGUAGCGGUGAAAUGCGUAGAUAUGUCACAGAACACCGAUCGCGAAGGCAGCUAACGAAACUAUCACUGACACUGAUGCACGAAAGCGUGGGGAGCAAACAGGAUUAGAUACCCUGGUAGUCCACGCCGUAAACGAUGAUAACUCGACGUUGGCAAUAUACCGUUCAGCGUCCAAGCGAAAGCGUUAAGUUAUCCACCUGGGGAGUACGAUCGCAAGGU
This 805-nucleotide ribosomal RNA is filed under the name uncultured bacterium. RNAcentral's name for it is "bacterial SSU rRNA". It matches the Rfam family "Bacterial small subunit ribosomal RNA", at positions 87 to 894 of the family's 1533-position model. The record is from RNAcentral.